Long non-coding RNA from Ostrea edulis (European flat oyster), 1235 nucleotides. RefSeq lists it as uncharacterized. The record is from RefSeq and is a predicted model, not a curated record. NCBI's taxonomy places the organism in Eukaryota, Metazoa, Mollusca, Bivalvia, Ostreida, Ostreidae. The transcript has 2 exons.
ACGCAAAAAGAGAGUCUUUAUAAAAUCCGGAAAUUUAAGUCUCUCUUUAAUUCUGUGUUAGAUUUUAUACAAAGCGUACGCAUUUCCGGUUAUGUUUUGACUGUUUCAUGAUUUUUGAAAGAGAAAUUCAUAGGGAUAAUUGAAUGAUUUAACGUGUAAAAUGAAUAACAGAGGGUUUGAUAAUUCACCUAGUGGAUAUUCUAAUUCACCAAGGGGAUAUUCUCCGUACAGUUUAUCAAACAGAAGACAUGGAAACGGAGUAAAUCAGACGGGAUACGGUCCCUCGGCGUGGGGGUCACCAUCUCCAGGCCCACGGACGACUUCAUACCCAAACAGAAGACCGUCCGUGUCACCAAGGCAUCACCAAUUUAGUCCGAGGCACCAUGGUUUUAGUGAUAGUUUUACUCCGUCAAAUUAUAGGACCUAUAGCCCGAAAGAGCACCAUUUCAAAACCCCCAACACAAGUUUUAUCCCUUUUUCUUCACCUAAUUCAGGUGGAUAUAGGGGAAGGGGAAGCGGGAGAAAAUAUCAUAAAACAUUUCAGAACCAAUGGAAGGAUAAGUCGUGUAACCCCGGAGGAAGUCAAAAUAUCGAAGAUUAUUACCACCCAGAAAUGUUACAAGACCCCUGGAAAUUUUGCUCUCCCGUGCCAGUUUCUAAAGCUUGAAAACUAUUUGGCAGUUAUCUCAGGUUUAAAUAUUUUCGGAUGGAAAUUGGAGAAAUAUUAAUUAGUUUUGAAAUCAGAAGUAACAGCAUAGUUACAAGCUGGCAGCACCUCUUGCAGCUAAAACUUCCAAAUUUUUUGGGGAUGUUUGAGAAAAUCUUACCACGAUACCGUGAUAUACUUAAAAACACAAGAAAGUGAAUUUUUACAAAGAUGUCGCUAAGUCCCUGACAACAAUGCCUUGGAAUAUGUACAUAUACGUCUAUCAGUGAAAUAUGAUUAUUCUUUUGGAGAAUCAAUUCUUGGAAAUUUAGGUGAAAGUUCCAGAUAAUAAAACAUUGUCUUGUGACAUGAAUUAAAAUAAGUAUAUCUGUGGUGUUUAGAUAUUUGAGAAUUGGAAGUUUAUUCGCAAGACUAUAAUGCUUCAACCUUCGCCUUUUCAUGAGUUUACAUUUUAUCAGACAAAGUGCGAGGCAUAUUGUCUUUUUAGUAUAUUUUCAUGAUUAUAGAAUGAAAUUUGUGAAUUUCCUGUUUUUAUUUUGUAUUGUUUAAAAUGAAUUUGAAAAGUUUU